AGAAUCAACGCUGGCGGCGUGCCUAACACAUGCAAGUCGCACGAGAAAGGGUAGCAAUACCUGAGUACAGUGGCGCACGGGUGAGUAACACGUGAAUAAUCUACCUCCGAGUGGGGAAUAACUGAGAGAAAUCUUAGCUAAUACCGCAUAAUACCCACGGGUCAAAGCAGCAAUGCGCUUGGAGAGGAGUUCGCGGCAGAUUAGUUAGUUGGCGGGGUAAUGGCCCACCAAGACGAUGAUCUGUAUCCGGCCUGAGAGGGCGCACGGACACACUGGAACUGAAACACGGUCCAGACUCCUACGGGAGGCAGCAGUGUGGAAUUUUGCGCAAUGGGGGAAACCCUGACGCAGCAACGCCGCGUGGAGGAUGAAGCCCUUGGGGUGUAAACUCUUUCGAUCGGGAAGAUAAUGACGGUACCGAUAUAAGAAGCCCCGGCUAACUUCGCGCCAGCAGCCGC
Molecule: ribosomal RNA, 458 nt
Filed under: uncultured bacterium
Lineage: Bacteria
Description: SSU rRNA
Rfam family: Bacterial small subunit ribosomal RNA
Source: RNAcentral